AACGAACGCUGGCGGCAGGCCUAAAACAUGCAAGUCGAGCGGGCAUAGCAAUAUGUCAGCGGCGGACGGGUGAAUAACACGUGGGAACAUGCCCUUUGGUACGGAACAACUCAGGGAAACUUGAGCUAAUACCGUAUGUGCCGGUAACGGGAAAGAUUUAUCGCCAAAGGAUUGGCCCGCGUCUGAUUAGCUAGUUGGUGGGGUAAAGGCCUACCAAGGCGACGAUCAGUAGCUGGUCUGAGAGGAUGAUCAGCCACACUGGGACUGAGACACGGCCCAGACUCCUACGGGAGGCAGCAGUAGGGAAUCUUGCGCAAUGGGCGAAAGCCUGACGCAGCCAUGCCGCGUGAAUGAUGAAGGUUCUUAGGAUUGUAAAAUUCUUUCAGCGGGGACGAUAAUGACGGUACCCGCAGAAGAAGCCCCGGCUAACUUCGUGCCAGCCGCCGCCGU
Molecule: ribosomal RNA, 450 nt
Filed under: uncultured bacterium
Lineage: Bacteria
Description: bacterial SSU rRNA
Rfam family: Bacterial small subunit ribosomal RNA
Source: RNAcentral